Non-coding RNA from Aegilops tauschii subsp. strangulata, 3801 nucleotides. The record is from RefSeq and is a predicted model, not a curated record. NCBI's taxonomy places the organism in Eukaryota, Viridiplantae, Streptophyta, Magnoliopsida, Poales, Poaceae.
GCACCUCUCGCUCCUAGCCAUUCUUUCGUUCUCUCCUCCCAGUUACAGUUCUCGCCGCCGCCGCCCUCACCGGCGUUCGUGCUUCACCUCCCGUCCCAAGCUCCACCUAUCAUCCAACGUCUUCUCCCCCGAUCUACUCGAUUUCAAUCUCAGGAACGCAUGGGAGGCGAGGUGUCCGUUGCUGGGACAUGGGCCAUGAGGAGGCUCAAACCCUUGGAUCCCUCCUUCGCGGGGCCAGGGCGCCCAUCCGCGUCGUACUGCACCGCUGCCGGCAUGGAGGCCCGGGCUCGUGCAGCCACCACGGUGUUGACCUCUCCUGGCUCCCCACCCUGGCCCGCGACGAUGAGUACCAGGUAACGCUGCUCCUGCAGUCUCAGCUCAUGGUCGUGCUGGGCAAGCCCCAUGACGUGCCUUGGAAUCGGUCGUGGCGUUGGUUGGGAACCGUACGGUGUUGUCUGAUGCGUUGUACGCAGUACGCACCAGGAGGUUUGGUCGGUCAAAGGCAGGUAUGAGUAGCUCCUAAGGCUGAUGGAUGGAUGGAUGUGUGCACGCCUGUAUGUGUGUAUGGAUGUCAGGGUCAUGUUGCUUGGUGGUCAAAGGCUGGGGGUAGAACCUGAUUUUGCUUGGUGGGCAAAGGCUGAUGAAUGGAUGGAUGUGUGCACGCCUGUAUGUAUGUAUGAAUAUCAGGCUCAUGUUGCUUGGUGGGCAAAGGCCGGGGGUAGAACCUCCUUUUCGGUAAAAAAAUGAGGGAUGAUGAUGAUGACUCUGGCUGAAAUAAGCAUGACUUGAGCAAUCAAGACUGUUGUGGCUUGUGGGUACUAAAUUAGAGCUCACCCUUACCUCUCUUGGAGCCUGUUCAAUUCAUCGGUAAUGUUCAAUGUUCUGCUCCUCAGAUGGUCACUCUGAUGAGCGAUAACCACGACAGUUCGUUUACAUUGCGAUGGAUAUGUUAUGCAGCAUGAGAUGUGAGUGUUGGGCUUGAAGAUCAAAGAGAGAACUGAGCCCUCUUUUGCUAUGCUACAAAUACACAAAUUUUCCUUAUCUACUAUACAGUGUUCUUCUUUCUGUUCUAUUGUGUUGAUGUGAGUGAAGAUCCAUCUGGACUUGGGAUUUAUGUCUUCUUUUGGUGAUGAACUCAACCACCCUAAGCCUACUUGGAUUGACUUAUAAUUGGGUUUGUUUUGCCUUUCUAGUUGUAUAUACUAUAUCUAUUACACAAUUGUCCUUUUUCUCCCAUGCCUGUAGCUAUUGGCAGUUUUAUUCCUGUGGUUAACAAGAUACCGUCAUACUAUUUGUCUUGUUAGUAAGCAUGUUAGCUUUUGCCAGAUGCUUCUUCAAAGAUGAACUUCAAUCCUCCACGGGAUUGCAAAGAGUUGUCAUUAAAACAGAUUGCCGAAAUGUGCUAUCUAUUUUGGUCAGAGCAGACCCUUUGUUAUGAUCCUCUUUGCUAUUUAGUUCAUUGGUCAUCCAUCUCUUUUUAAGCUGCUGCUGUUAAUACUAACUGCCACAUUGAUUAUUAGAAUCACAUGAUGCAUUAGUGCGGUACAGAUCCCUCACAGGUUGUUUAAAAUGAGAGUGUCAAGUCAAUUUAUCAGCUGGAAAGUUUUUUUGGGUUAAAAAUGUCAUUAUAUUUUUUCUAAUCAUGAAUGAAAGUCUUCUUGGAGCUUUUGCCUGGGCCAUUUGGGAUCUGUAUGUUGGCCAUUGUCCCCCCUUCACAUUAUAUGUUUUUAAAUUUAUUUCGUGGUCUUGCUAUGGUUUUUGUUUUCAUUUUGCCAAAGGUUGCAGUAUGGAAACCAUCCUCUAUCUCUAUAUCAAUACCACUAUCUUUUUCACCAUCUUCGGACAUCAUGACAUUAAUUCGAUUUGAUACCUCAUGUUCUUUACUUCACACUCUUAGUAAUUCCUUAUUCGUAACUAUUGUUUUCAAAGUUGCAUAUAUUUGUGAUCAUAGACAUCCGAUGGUUCCACAUUUUUCUUGGUAAGUGUACAUGUCAUGUAGUCCAUUAAAAGAAUGAAAUGCACUGAAUUAGUAGAGGCCUUCCUAUUUAUACAUUAAAUCUAUGGUAUUGAUUAUCUAUGCUUUAUGCUCUGCCCAUGGCCGGGCGGCUUCAGUGAUUCUCCUCUGUUGGAACAAGCCAUCACUACAACCUCAUAAUUAUGAUGUAUAUAUAUAUGCGCAAAUAUGUUUCUGUUUUUACAUUGAUAAAACAUGUGUUUAGUUGUACUGGCCAAGAAUAGUUCUAUGAUUAAUGCUUAUAGUUUACUGUCAACUACUUCUACUGAUGGCUUAUAGUUUUUAUAGACUGUGACCAUAAUUGUGAGCCUUAUGGGAGGCCACUCACUAGAUAAAUAUAAUGGAUUGGGGUGGCCCAUAGAGUAGCUUCUCAAGCGGGCCUUACUCUUCGGUUUCUACUUCCAUGGCAUCAUCGUGUAGGAUGCGGCAUGAAGCUGUGUAAGGUACUGAUGGUCUUUGAGGUGAGCUCUUUAUCUGUAUCUAACAGUGCUCUGUCUCCCUUCGCGUAUAAUAACAUUUUAGUGGAUCUGAAUUUUGUGUUGACUGACUGGAAGUCAAGGUUCUGUUCAAUUGAUUCAUAUAUAUAUAUAUAUGUCUCUGAAUUUCCUUAUAUUUUCCCGUGUGUGAUCAUUUGUACUGUAAGUUAUUGUACAUGCACCUCCAUUCAUAGCAUGCCAACAAUGUGAAUUAGCUUAUUAGGAUUUUAUAUAUUCCUUUUACCCUUUCUAUGGUUGUUAGUACCAUGUAUUUUAUUAAAUCCAUUAUCAAGAUGUAGGUUAUCCUUUUGCACGGCAUGCCUAAAAAUGAAUAUCACCGUAUAGCUGUGCUGCUAAUGUUAUGAGUGUUUUUUUUUGCACGCCGAAACUGAUUGUACCAUACCAAUCCCAGUGGGAGCACUUUGUGUCUAUGGUGGUGAAUUUUUUGUCGUGAUCAAAACUUAUCUUAUUGCUCCCAGUUUGGGAAAUGUUUUUUAGACACUUGAGACAAUUUUUUUUUUGAAAUAGGAGAUCAUUAUAAUUUGUUUUUGUCUCUGCGUCAGCUGCUAUUUCAGUUAAUGCUUGGUUGUUCCUAGAUAAUAACAGAGAAGUUCUCUAUGUGGCGAUCCUCAAAACUUCCUAAUAGUUCAGUGGAGUAAGAAGGCUUGCAUGAGUUUGAUCAAACUAAACUGAUCAUAUGCUGAAGCAAAAAAAUGUAUGACUCUAGGAGUUCGGAGUACUACGAGAAUUGCUCAAGGGUCACACCACAACGACUGCUAGAGCAGGCUUCACCUCAGGCGCUCUCCCUAACUCUUUUACAUGCUGAUGACCACUUCACACACCAACGCAUGAGUAAAAUGGCUGGUGAGCACCAACGUCUCUGAAACUUUUUCAGAAUAAAGUAAUGAGGCUGCAUUUGUUUUCAUGGCCGGCCGAUGCUGCGUGGAUCCGGUUCAACGAGGUCGUUGGCGACGUGCUGCGGGAGCGGCAGAGGAGGAUCUGGUCUCUAUGGCAAGUUGAAAAUAGGUAUGCACAAGCAUGGACAAUAUUUUCCUAGAAUAAUGAAGUCACUGGCUAUAUAGUUAUAGUGUGACCCAGAUAUGUAUUUUUGGACGUGUGCCUUUGCUGGCUUGUAGUAUUUAUUGUUUAUAUGUAUUUUGAAAAUACCACGUUGGUAGAUCUGUUCCUUUCUUCUGGAGAAGCAUUUUGAAAAUACCCCGUUCGUAUAUUGAAAAUAGGUAUGCACAAGAAUUGUAAAUAAUUUACUAGAAUGAUUAAGUUACUAGCUAUAUAGCGUGAUCCGGAUAUGUA